Molecule: RNA transcript, 874 nt
Organism: Papaver somniferum (opium poppy)
Lineage: Eukaryota; Viridiplantae; Streptophyta; Magnoliopsida; Ranunculales; Papaveraceae
Gene name: peptidyl-prolyl cis-trans isomerase NIMA-interacting 4-like
Exons: 6
Source: RefSeq, a predicted model, not a curated record
CCCUAAAAACGCCAGGCUAAAAAGACGCGAGAGAUAAAUAAAAUACUGACUGAGAGCAGGCAUAGUGGAGGAAGAAUAUCAUACGUUUCUCACUGGGGUUUGGAGAUUGUUGAUUGGAAUCUAAGGUUAUGGGGAAAGGCAAAGAGGCAGCUGGGAAAGGCAAAGAGGCAGCUGGGAAAGGUAAGGGAAAGGCAGCUGGCGGUGGAGGAGAUGAGCCUGCUGCAAAGGGUAAAGGAAAAUCUGGAAAAGCUGCAGAUGGGCUUGGUACCUGCACAUACGUCAAAGCAAGGCAUAUCCUGUGCGAGAAGCAAGGUAAGAUCAAUGAAGCUUACAAGAAGCUAGACGAAGGUUGGUUAAGCAAUGGAGAUAAAGUUCCUCCAGCAGAGUUUGCAAAGGUUGCUGCCGAAUAUUCAGAGUGCCCAUCAGCUAAGAAAGGAGGGGACCUUGGGUGGUUUCCUAGAGGAAAAAUGGCUGGACCAUUUCAGGAAGUUGCUUUCAACACUGUAGUUGGAGCUACCAGUGCACCAUUCAAAUCAACCUUGGCAGCGUCGUUUUUGUUCCAUUAUUAAAUGUGUUUUCAACUUUUGGAAAGGAUUUUGGACCGAAACAUGUCGGUCUCAUCUUAGUUAGUAGAGGCAUGGGUACCACAUUAUCUUGUCAGAGGGGAGGAAGAAUUGAUUGGAACCGGCAAAGAUUCCAAUUUACCCUUCUUAUAUAUAUAGGUUAAGAAACAUAGUAAACAUGGGCUUGUUUCAGUCGUUUAUGAGGGCACCUGGGCCUACUACUUAAAAGCAUAAUGUUAUGAAAUAUUAACAGUUGCAUUCAAGGUUCUCCUUAAUUUGAAAAUCUAUUGGGAAAUGCGGUUCUUUGUAAA